CAUGCAGUCGAACGGGAAGCGGUGUAUUUAUACUUCGGUAAAUUUACGCCGUGGAGAGUGGCGAACGGGUGCGUAACACGUAGGUAACCUGCCCCGAAAGGGGGGAUAACCACGGGAAACUGUGGCUAAUACCGCAUGACCUGGCCGAGACGGGAGUUUCGGUGAGGAAAGCUGAGGCGAUUUGGGAGGGGCCUGCGGUCGAUUAGCUGGUUGGUGGGGUAAAGGCCUACCAAGGCGAUGAUCGAUAGCUGUUCUGAGAGGAAGACCAGCCACACGGGAACUGAGACACGGUUCCGACUCCUACGGGGGGCAGCAGUGAGGAAUAUUGCGCAAUGGGGGAAACCCUGACGCAGCAACGCCGCGUGGAGGAUGAAGGUUUUCGGAUUGUAAGCUCCUUAACUGGGGGAAGAGAGAGGACGGUACCCCAGGACGAAGACACGGCUAACUAGGUGCCAGCAGCCGCGGUAAUACCUAGGUGUCGAGCGUUAUCCGGAAUUACUGGGCGUAAAGGGUGCGCAGGCGGCGAUACAAGUCUGGCGUGAAAGCUCCUGGCUUAACUGGGAGAGGACGUUAGAAACUGUAUGGCUAGAGUGAAUGAGAGGGAGGCGGAAAUUCCGGUGUAGUGGUGGAAUGCGUAGAUAUCGGGAAGAACACCAGAGGCGAAGGCGGCCUCCUGGCAUUUUACUGACGCUGAGGCACGAAAGCGUGGGUAGCGAACGGGAUUAGAUACCCCGGUAGUCCACGCUGUAAACGAUGUGAACGAGGUGUGGGCGGUGUAGAAGCCGUCCGUGCCGGAGCAAACGCGAUAAGUUCACCGCCUGGGGAGUACGGUCGCAAGGCUAAAACUCAAAGGAAUUGACGGGGGCCCGCACAAGCAGCGGAGCGUGUGGUU
RNAcentral lists this ribosomal RNA (892 nucleotides) under uncultured bacterium. RNAcentral's name for it is "bacterial SSU rRNA". It matches the Rfam family "Bacterial small subunit ribosomal RNA", at positions 54 to 946 of the family's 1533-position model. The record is from RNAcentral.